AGUUGCGAAGGCGGCUCUCUGGACUGUAACUGACGCUGAGGCACGAAAGCGUGGGGAGCAAACAGGAUUAGAUACCCUGGUAGUCCACGCUGUAAACGAUGAGUACUAGGUGUCGGGGGUUACCCCGCUCGGUGCCGCAGCUAACGCAUUAAGUACUCCGCCUGGGCAGUACGCUCGCAAGAGUGAAACUCAAAGUAAUUGACGGGGACCCGCACACGUAGCGCAGCAUGUGGUUUAAUACGAAGCAACGCGAAGAACCUUACCUAAGCUUGACACCCCAAUGACAUCUCCUUAAACGGAGAGUUCCCUUCGGGGACAUUGGGGACAGGUGGUGCAUGGUUGUCGUCAGCUCGUGUCGUGAGAUGUUGGGUUAAGUCCCGCAACGAGCGCAACCCUUGUCUUUAGUUGCCAUCAUUAAGUUGGGCAC
RNAcentral lists this ribosomal RNA (427 nucleotides) under Clostridioides difficile. RNAcentral's name for it is "bacterial SSU rRNA". It matches the Rfam family "Bacterial small subunit ribosomal RNA", at positions 711 to 1138 of the family's 1533-position model. Lineage: Bacteria; Bacillati; Bacillota; Clostridia; Peptostreptococcales; Peptostreptococcaceae. The record is from RNAcentral.